This 30-nucleotide non-coding RNA is filed under the name Homo sapiens (human). Lineage: Eukaryota; Metazoa; Chordata; Mammalia; Primates; Hominidae. The record is from RNAcentral.
UGGUGAAAAGAUGGAAUGAGCGAUGGAGUU